UUUGGUGAAAGUUUCCAAUGGGAGACUUCGGGAGAGAGAUAUCCCUCUCGAAAGGCUACUAGUAUAUUGCCUUUUUUUUUUAAUAUUGCAAUAUAUUGCUAUCUUUUGUAUUCUUUUUGUAGAGUUUUGUCGUUAGGUUGGUAUUUUAUUCUAAAAAGAGAUUUGAUUCUGUAUAUUAAUGUAAAUAAGGUUUAGUUAUUUUGGGUAAUGAUAUUAAUGUAAAUAAAGUAGGUUUAGUUUAUUUGGGUAACUAACCUUGUAUAAAUACACUCCCUUUGAUCAAUCAAAUAGAUAAAGAGAAUAUUCUUCAGAAUAUACUUUCACAUGGUAUCAGAGCUAGGGUUUUUCAUCUUAGCCGCCGCCGCCGCCGUCGCCGCACACCCGUGAAAGUCUCCGUCUCCGUCUCCGUCGCCGUCGCCGCCCACUCGCAGCCGUUCCGUCAUCGUCAUCCUCAUCGCGCCGCAGACAGCUUCGAUCUGUCUCCAGCCCUUCCGCGCGCCUUGCAGACAGCUCCGAUCUGUCUCCAGCCACAACAUCGGCGUCGCGCCGAUCAGCAGCAGCCUCGGCAUCGCAGCAGCCUCGGCAUCGCAACAUCGGCCGUUUCCGCUCCGAUUCAUCUCCAUCCGCGAGGCAGCCGCAUCGUUUCCGCUCCGAUUCGUCUCCAUCCGCGAGGCAGCCGUACGCGUCACCUUCCGAUUCGUCUCCAUCCGCGAGGCAGCCGUACGCGUCACCUUGCGGCCGCCGUCCAGAUCUGUACCGCAAAACCUUCCGCCGCUGCCGCCAUUGCUCUUCCGCCGCUGUCCAGCCGUCUCAGCCGGAUCUGCCUCCGUUGGAAACCCUAUCUUUCCAAGUUUCUUUGAUUUCAUUUUUCGCAGAUCUAGCUCCGUCUUCCACUCUGUCGAUGUUUCGAAGUUCGUAGAUCGAUAGAUCUUUUGUAGAUCUACACGCUGAUCGUGGUUUCUUGUCGAUUCGGUCUCUGGUGACAGAUCUGCACGGUUCAACACCAGAUCUGACGAAUCCUUCAGCCGUUUGUCUUCAAGUUUUUUUUGUUGUUUGUCUCCGUUCCCAGCCGUGCACCCCUGAAUCCAGUCACGGCCGAAAAUCCGCAUUGUUAACCCCAAAUCAAAAUGGAGAGAGACCAUAUCUUUAGACCCAUUUCUACCAUACUUGAUGGUACAAAUUAUAUCACAUGGGCAAAUCAAAUGAAAAGUUUUCUUAUUGGAAGAAAACUAUGGCGCAUUGUAACUGGCGACAUCACCAAACCAACUGCAAAGGAAGGGGAUAACACAUUCAUUGAACGUCUCGAAGAUUGGGACAGUAAAAAUCAUCAAAUUAUCACCUGGCUUGGUAACACCUCUAUUCCCGCUAUACAUGCACAGUUUGAUGCCUUUCAUGAUGCUAAAAUAUUAUGGGAUUUUUUGUCUACACGCUUCAAGUCUAUUGGUUUAGCCCAUUAUUACCAACUGCACAGUACACUUGUAAAUCUAAAUCAAGAUUCUGGUCAGUCUGUUAAUGAAUAUUUGGCAGUUCUUCAACCCAUUUGGACUCAACUUGACCAAGCGAACAUCAGCAAAGAUCAUCUUCGCCUUAUUAAAGUCCUUAUGGGAUUACGUCCAGAAUAUGAAUCUGUUAGAGCUGCUUUACUACACCGGAAUCCCUUACCCUCAUUAGAUGCAGCUAUUCAAGAAAUUCUGUUUGAAGAAAAGCGUCUUGGCAUCAACUCUACUAAACAAUCUGAUGUUGUCCUUGCUAGCACAUACACUCCCAACAGAGCCGCAAAUAUGUUUUGUAAGAAUUGUAAGCUCUCUGGUCACAAAUUUAGUAACUGUCCUAAAAUAGAGUGCAGGUACUGCCAUAAACAUGGCCACAUUCUGGAUAACUGCCCUACCAGACCACCCCGACCUCCUAGCACUUCCACAAAAGAGAAAAUUUUUACCAAACAUGGUUCCUCAUCUGUUGUUGCUGCGACCUCGGAUGAUUCAUCCCCAUUCAGAUAAGUGAUCUUCAGAGCUUAUUGAAUCAACUAAUUUCAUCAUCAUCCGCUCUGGCUGUUUCAUCAGGUAAUCGAUGGCUUCUUGAUUCUGCCUGUUGUAAUCAUAUGACCUCUGACUCUUCUCUUAUGUCUACGUCUAGCCCUACAAAAUCUUUACCUCCUAUUUAUGCUGCUGAUGGUAAUUGUAUGAACAUCUCUCAUACUGGUACCAUUGAUACUCCCAGUGUACAUCUUCCCAUACUUACUGUGUUCCUAACCUGACCUUUAAUCUAGUGUCUGUUGGUCAAUUAUGUGAUCUGGGCUUAAAUGUUUCAUUUUCUCCCAAUGGUUGUCAGGUUCAGGAUCCGCAGACGGGACAGACGAUUGGAACGGGUCGCAAAGUGGGAAGAUUGUUUGAGCUCACAUCACUUCGGAUUUCAUCUCCUUCUUCCAUCUCUGCUUCGGUCACUGAUUCUGACACAUAUCAGUGGCAUCUUCGUCUUGGUCAUGCUUCCUCUGAAAAACUUCGUCAUUUAAUUUCUGUUAACAAUUUGACUAAUCUUACUAAAUUUGUUCCUUUUAAUUGUUUGAAUUGCAAACUUGCUAAACAACCUGCCUUAUCUUUUUCUCAAUCCAUCUCUAAUUGUGAUAAACCUUUUGAUUAGUGCAUUCUGAUAUUUGGGGUCCUGCCCCAAUUACUACUGUUCAUGGUUAUCGCUACUAUGUUUUAUUCAUUGAUGACUACUCUCGAUUUACAUGGAUUUACUUUCUAAAACAUCGUUCUGAAUUAUCUCGCACAUAUAUUGAGUUUGCUAACAUGAUUCGCACUCAAUUUUCCUCUCCCAUCAAAAUUCUUCGCACUGAUAAUGCUUUGGAAUAUAAAGAUUCCAUCCUUCUUUCUUUUCUUUCCCAACAGGGCACUAUUGUUCAGCGCUCUUGCCCUCAUACCUCUCAACAAAAUGGACGUGCUGAGCGCAAACAUCGUCACAUUCUUGACUCAGUACGUGCCCUCCUUCUUUCUGCCUCUUGUCCAGAAAAAUUCUGGGGUGAAGCUGCCCUUACAUCAGUAUAUACAAUCAAUCGUCUCCCUUCCUCUGUCCUUCAAAAUACCUCUCCGUUCGAAAAACUAUAUGGUAUUUCUCCCGACUAUUCUAAACUCAAAGUUUUUGGUAGUGCCUGCUUCGUUCUGUUACAUCCUCAUGAACACAAUAAACUUGAACCACGUGCCCGUCUCUGUUGCUUCCUUGGCUAUGGCACCGAACACAAAGGAUUUCGUUGUUGGGACCCUCUUUCCAACCGACUCCGGAUAUCUCGGCAUGUCACUUUUUGGGAACACACUAUGUUCUCUCGUUUGUCCUCCUUCCACACCUCCUUCUCUAGUCCUCAAUCUUUCUUUACAAACACAUCUGUUGACCUUUUUCCUCUCUCUGAACCCACCUUGGAUACUGAGCUUGCACAAUCUUCACCUGCUACUGCAAAUCUGGAUCCACCGUCUGUCUCCGAUGAUGUUCCUGAAUCGCCACCUGCUACUCCUCUUCGUCGCUCUACCAGGGUAAGAGAACCUCCCCCUCAUCUCACUGAUUACCAUUGUUUUUCUACCAUUGUUUCCCUUGUUGAACCCACCUCUUAUCAAGAGGCCAGUAUUAACCCAGUAUGGCAGAAAGCAAUGGAUGAAGAAUUACAGGCUCUUGAAAAGACGCACACUUGGGACUAUGUUGAUUUACCUCCCGGUAAAAGACCCAUUGGUUGCAAAUGGAUUUACAAAAUCAAAACUCACUCUGAUGGAACUAUUGAACGUUAUAAAGCUCGGCUUGUUGCAAAAGGAUACUCACAAGAAUAUGGGAUAGACUAUGAAGAAACAUUUGCCCCUGUUGCCCGGAUGACAUCUGUUCGCAGCUUGUUAGCUGUUGCUGCUGCCAAACAGUGGCCUCUUUUUCAGAUGGAUGUCAAAAAUGCAUUUCUUCACGGCAACCUAUCUGAAGAAGUGUAUAUGAAGCCACCUCAGGGAACUUCUCCUCCUCCCAACAAGGUGUGUCUCCUUCGUCGCGCUCUAUACGGUCUAAAACAGGCUCCACGAGCUUGGUUUGCCACGUUUAGCUCCACCAUUACUCAACUUGGAUUUACCUCCAGCUCUCACGACAAUGCCCUUUUUACACGACAGACAACUCAUGGUAUUGUUCUUCUCCUUCUUUAUGUUGAUGAUAUGAUUAUUACUGGUAAUGAUCAACAGGCCAUAUCCGACCUACAACAAUAUCUUGGUCAACAUUUUGAGAUGAAAGACCUUGGAUCUCUCAAUUACUUUCUCGGUCUUGAAGUCUCUCACCGUUCAGAUGGUUAUCUGUUAUCUCAAGCGAAAUAUGCAUCUGAUCUAAUAGCACGCUCAGGAAUUACAGACUCCACCACAUCUUCAACACCGUUAGAUCCUCAUGUCCAUCUAACUCCGUUUGAUGGUGUUCCUCUUGACGAUGCAAGCUUGUAUCGGCAACUUGUUGGCAGUCUUAUAUACCUAACAGUAACUCGCCCAGAUAUUGCAUAUGCUGUUCAUAUUGUCAGUCAAUUUAUGGCUGCUCCUCGAACAAUUCAUUUCACUGCUGUUCUACGCAUACUUCGCUAUGUCAAAGGCACCUUGGGACAUGGUCUUCAAUUCUCAUCUCAGUCUUCCCUUGUGUUGUCGGGAUAUUCUGAUGCUGAUUGGGCGGGGGAUCCUACUGAUCGACGAUCCACUACAGGAUACUGUUUUUACUUAGGUGAUUCUCUCAUCUCAUGGCGUAGUAAGAAAAAAGUGUUAUAUCUCGUUCCAGUACGGAAUCUGAAUAUCGUGCUCUGGCUGAUGCUACAGCUGAACUUAUAUGGCUUCGGUGGCUCCUUGCCGAUAUGAGUGUCCCUCAACAGGGUCCUACCCUCCUCCAUUGUGACAAUCGUAGUGCCAUUCAGAUUGCUCACAAUGAUGUGUUUCAUGAACGUACAAAACACAUUGAAAAUGACUGUCACUUUGUUCGUCACCACCUCUUAAGCAACACCCUCCUCUUACGUUCUGUUUCUACUAUUGAACAACCUGCGGAUAUCUUCACCAAAGCCUUGCCAUCUAAUCGAUUUUGUCACUUACUUACCAAACUCAAGUUGAUCGCUACUCUACCACCUUGAGUUUGAGGGAGGGUAUUAAUGUAAAUAAGGUUUAGUUAUUUUGGGUAAUGAUAUUAAUGUAAAUAAAGUAGGUUUAGUUUAUUUGGGUAACUAACCUUGUAUAAAUACACUCCCUUUGAUCAAUCAAAUAGAUAAAGAGAAUAUUCUUCAGAAUAUACUUUCACACUGUAAUUAGUUGUCUUAUUAUGUAAGAUGAAUUCAAUGGCCAGAGAACCAUCCACUCCAAUUCCCCACUCUAAGCCUGUGUCAAUAAAGAGAUUUGAUUAUGUAAUUAGUUGUGUUAUUAAUAUUGCCUUGAAUGGA
This 5419-nucleotide long non-coding RNA is filed under the name Cucumis sativus (cucumber). Its description in RNAcentral is "long non-coding RNA (CSAT_LNC002647)". The record is from RNAcentral. Lineage: Eukaryota; Viridiplantae; Streptophyta; Magnoliopsida; Cucurbitales; Cucurbitaceae.